CAGCCGGUAAUUCCAGCUCCAAUAGCGUAUAUUAGUGUUGUUGCGGUUAAAAAGCUCGUAGUUGAAUUUCGGGAUUGGGAUAUAUCGGUCAUGCCUUUAGGGGCAUGAAUCGGUGUGUAGCCAAUUUCUCACCUUCUGGUGAAUUGGGAUGCUCUUGGGUGUUUCAAUGAACUAGGACUUUUACUUUGAAAAAAAUAUAGUGUUUAAAGCGGGCAUUUUUGCUUGAAUACAUUAGCAUGGAAUAAUAAAAUAGGACGAUGGUUCUAUUUUGUUGGUUUUAGGACCACGUAAUGAUUAAUAGGGAUAGUUGGGGGCAUUAGUAUUCAAUAGUCAGAGGUGAAAUUCUUGGAUUUAUUGAGGACUAACUACUGCGAAAGCAUUUGCCAAGGAUGUUUUCAUUAAUCAAGAACGAAAGUUAGGGGAUCGAAGACGAUUUAUGUACGUCGUAGUCUUAACCAUAAACUAUGCCGACUAGGAAUCAGACAAAGUUCAUUUUUUAACGACUUGUUUGGUACCUUACG
Molecule: unclassified non-coding RNA, 521 nt
Filed under: uncultured Glomeromycotina
Lineage: Eukaryota; Fungi; Glomeromycota
Description: SSU rRNA
Rfam family: Eukaryotic small subunit ribosomal RNA
Source: RNAcentral